Molecule: long non-coding RNA, 1518 nt
Organism: Lotus japonicus
Lineage: Eukaryota; Viridiplantae; Streptophyta; Magnoliopsida; Fabales; Fabaceae
Exons: 11
Source: RefSeq, a predicted model, not a curated record
CUUUUCCAAAUACUCUUCCAAAAGUUUGAGAUACUGGUAAACACUCUUCCCUAUAUUUUCCAAAAUGGGCUGAGGCGCUCAGCUUCUACUGGUGGGUUUAUGUUGCAAAAAUCAGAACUUGAGUCCUACCCUCAACAGAUGAAGGGCGCGUGCGUUCGUGUGAAUUCACAUUGAAAGCUAUCGAUUGUUGUUGGCAAUGCUUCACCCAAAUCCGCAGAUUGACUAGGUGAAUGAAAAAGUCAUCAAGAGGGAUUCAAGAAGGGUAUCUUUCACAUUUUGUAAGAAUUAUAUACAUUUUUGACUGUUGGAAUCUGUGGAGAUGUCGGUCACUGCAACCAUUCACUUCAGAGAUCAGAACGAGAGAGAAAUAAGGGCUUGAAGAUGGAAGAUGGCCUUUUCCAUAUGAUAGAGAUGCACAGAUUGAAAGUAUUGUAAUAUAACAUUGUAGAUCGAUAAACUCUUACCUGUCAAUGAAGGAAUCAUGAGUGUUAAUGAUUCUAAUGCUACUCGAGUUGCCAUUUUCAGAGACAGGGAAAAAAAUCGAAGUGAUCCAGAUUAUGACCAUAGCUAUGGAAGGGUUUUUCCAAAGGAGAUGGGCAGAUUGAAAGCAAUGUAAUAGAACAUUGCAGAUCAAUGAACUGUGAUAAGGAGGGAUCUCGAACAUGGCACUAUGGACUCCAUCAGAUAUGCCUGAAGAUCAAUAUAUUUCAAGACUGAGCGAUCAUCAAUGGGAUGGAAGGAUAUCAUAGUUAAGCAAGAUCAGACUAAAGAGAACCGGUCAGGUAUUCUGGAUGUUCAAUAUCCAGGUUCUUAUGAAAAUCAUGAAAGAGUAUGCCUGAUGCUUGCAAUGUAGAUCACACUGCAGUUCAACAUGGUAUGGGAAUUUCACUGUGGUAGAGAGGGGAUGGCGGGAUCUCAUUGUCCACAGGAAUAACAUUUCAACUAUGGUUGCAUGCAGGUGAGGAUGGCCAUCGCUACAUAUACCUACUAUAUUAGAGGCUUCCAUAUGUAUAUACAAGUUUGAACUUUUUUCAGGUGAUGUGGAGAUUGGCCAAAGAGGAGGAAACGAUACAUGCUUUAGGUUAACAUAUGUGAUUAGAUAUAGAAGACUCUACCGCUGAAUCUACAUAUUGCGACUAAGUUGAAUUGCUACCAAUCCAAUGUCUAUGCAGAGGAGUUCCGGCCUACCAGAAAGCAACUCACCAUUUAUAAGUGUUUUUGUUUGAUUUUAGCCCUUAAAGGUAAAAUAUAGUGUGACAAAAUAAAGCAAGCCUUGGCAGCAAAGAACCUUACCUUACUCUGACCAACCCAAACCCAUUAAAUGUGUAUCCACUUCAUCAUUAUCUUGCUCAUUGACAACUAUCUGCACACAUUAAUGGUGCUACUGUCAUGUGUGAAUCUAGCACGUUGUAGGACUGCACUUACAUGCGUGAAAGUGGCAGAUGACACUCUUGCUUAGGAUUUUGUCAACCCUCCAAUACAUGAUAUGCAUGGUUUAUAUGAAUGUAUGAUUAAAUU